CCUACGGGAGGCAGCAGUGAGGAAUAUUGGUCCAUGGGCGGAAGCCUGAACCAGCCAAGUAGCGUGCGGGAUGAAGGCCCUACGGGUCGUAAACUGCUUUUGCACGGGGAUAACACCCUCCACGUGUGUAGGUCUGCAGGUACCGUGCGAAUAAGGGUCGGCUAAAUCCGUGCCAGCAGCCGCGGUAAUACGGAGAGCACGAGCGUUAUCCGGAUUCAUUGGGCUUAACGGGAGCGUAGGCGGGCGUUAAAGUCAGCUGGAAAAUCUCGCGGCUAAACCGCGCACCGCAGUGACAACUGGACGCCUUGAGUUCACAAGAGGCAGGCGGAAUUCGUGGUGUAGCGGUGAAAUGCUUAGAUAUCACGAGGAACCCCGAUGGCGAAGGCAGCCUGCCGGGGUGCGACUGACGCUGAGGCUCGAAGGUGCGGGUAUCAAACAGGAUUAGAUACCCUAGUAGUC
Molecule: ribosomal RNA, 459 nt
Filed under: uncultured bacterium
Lineage: Bacteria
Description: partial 16S ribosomal RNA
Rfam family: Bacterial small subunit ribosomal RNA
Source: RNAcentral